CACGCAGUAAACGAUGUUCACUCGCUGUUUGCGAUAUACUGUAAGCGGCUUAGUUAAAGCAUUAAGUGAACCACCUGGGGAGUACGAUCGCAAGGUUGAAACUCAAAGGAAUUGACGGGGGCCCGCACAAGCGGAGGAACAUGUGGUUUAAUUCGAUGAUACGCGAGGAACCUUACCUGGGCUUAAAUGCAGGAUGCAUGCUGUGGAAACACACUUCCCUUCGGGGCUUCCUGCAAGGUGC
RNAcentral lists this ribosomal RNA (241 nucleotides) under uncultured Bacteroidota bacterium. Its description in RNAcentral is "uncultured Bacteroidetes bacterium partial 16S ribosomal RNA". It matches the Rfam family "Bacterial small subunit ribosomal RNA", at positions 796 to 1041 of the family's 1533-position model. Lineage: Bacteria; Pseudomonadati; Bacteroidota. The record is from RNAcentral.